This 345-nucleotide unclassified non-coding RNA is filed under the name soil metagenome. Its description in RNAcentral is "partial contains 5.8S ribosomal RNA, internal transcribed spacer 2, and large subunit ribosomal RNA". The stretch from base 1 to 120 matches the Rfam family "5.8S ribosomal RNA", at positions 35 to 154 of the family's 154-position model. The record is from RNAcentral.
GAUGAAGAACGUAGCGAAAUGCGAUAAGUAAUGUGAAUUGCAGAAUUCCGUGAAUCAUCGAAUCUUUGAACGCACAUUGCGCCCUCUGGCAUUCCGGGGGGCAUGCCUGUCCGAGCGUCAUUUGCAACCCUCAAGCCCGGCUUGUGUGAUGGGUGCCGUCCCCUACGGGACGCGCCCCGAAGGCAAUGGCGGCGUCGCGGUUAUCCGAUCAGCCAAAGUGUAUGGGGCUUUGUCACUCACUUUACGGCCCGGACCGGCGCCAGUCCGAAUCAAUCUUUUUUCUAAAGUUGACCUCGGAUCAGGUAGGGAUACCCGCUGAACUUAAGCAUAUCAAUAAGCGGAGGA